This 83-nucleotide small RNA is filed under the name Marmota monax (woodchuck). The record is from RNAcentral. Lineage: Eukaryota; Metazoa; Chordata; Mammalia; Rodentia; Sciuridae.
GCCAGGCACAGUGGCGCAUGCCUGUAAUCUCAGCAACUCCGGAGGCUGAGGCAGGAGGAUCACAAGUUCAAAGCCAGCCUCAG